CGCGGGGUGGAGCAGUCUGGUAGCUCGUCGGGCUCAUAACCCGAAGGUCGCAGGUUCAAAUCCUGCCCCCGCAACCA
This 77-nucleotide transfer RNA is filed under the name Priestia megaterium. Its description in RNAcentral is "tRNA-Met". It matches the Rfam family "tRNA". Rfam says of the family: Transfer RNA (tRNA) molecules are approximately 80 nucleotides in length. Their secondary structure includes four short double-helical elements and three loops (D, anti-codon, and T loops). RNAcentral also lists the same sequence under 47 other names. Lineage: Bacteria; Bacillati; Bacillota; Bacilli; Caryophanales; Bacillaceae. The record is from RNAcentral.